This 371-nucleotide ribosomal RNA is filed under the name uncultured organism. RNAcentral describes it as "partial 16S ribosomal RNA". It matches the Rfam family "Bacterial small subunit ribosomal RNA", at positions 527 to 896 of the family's 1533-position model. The record is from RNAcentral.
GUAGGUGGCAAGCGUUGUCCGGAAUUAUUGGGCGUAAAGCGCGCGCAGGCGGUCCUUUAAGUCUGAUGUGAAAGCCCACGGCUCAACCGUGGAGGGUCAUUGGAAACUGGAGAACUUGAGUACAGAUGAGGAAAGCGGAAUUCCACGUGUAGCGGUGAAAUGCGUAGAGAUGUGGAGGAACACCAGUGGCGAAGGCGGCUUUCUGGUCUGUAACUGACGCUGAGGCGCGAAAGCGUGGGGGAGCAAACAGGAUUAGAUACCCUGGUAGUCCACGCCGUAAACGAUGAGUGCUAAGUGUUAGGGGGUUUCCGCCCCUUAGUGCUGCAGCUAACGCAUUAAGCACUCCGCCUGGGAGUACGGCCGCAAGGCUG